Molecule: ribosomal RNA, 468 nt
Filed under: uncultured bacterium
Lineage: Bacteria
Description: partial 16S ribosomal RNA
Rfam family: Bacterial small subunit ribosomal RNA
Source: RNAcentral
GACGAACGCUGGCGGCGUGCUUAACACAUGCAAGUCGAACGGAAAGGCCCUGCUUUUGUGGGGUGCUCGAGUGGCGAACGGGUGAGUAACACGUGAGUAACCUGCCCUUGACUUUGGGAUAACUUCAGGAAACUGGGGCUAAUACCGGAUAGGAGCUCCUGCUGCAUGGUGGGGGUUGGAAAGUUUCGGCGGUUGGGGAUGGACUCGCGGCUUAUCAGCUUGUUGGUGGGGUAGUGGCUUACCAAGGCUUUGACGGGUAGCCGGCCUGAGAGGGUGACCGGCCACAUUGGGACUGAGAUACGGCCCAGACUCCUACGGGAGGCAGCAGUGGGGAAUAUUGCACAAUGGGCGGAAGCCUGAUGCAGCAACGCCGCGUGCGGGAUGACGGCCUUCGGGUUGUAAACCGCUUUCGCCUGGGACGAAGCGUGAGUGACGGUAAUGGGCAAAGAAGCACCGGCUAACUACGUG